Molecule: ribosomal RNA, 486 nt
Filed under: uncultured bacterium
Lineage: Bacteria
Description: bacterial SSU rRNA
Rfam family: Bacterial small subunit ribosomal RNA
Source: RNAcentral
AUUGAACGCUGGCGGCAUGCCUUACACAUGCAAGUCGAACGGCAGCACGGGGGCAACCCUGGUGGCGAGUGGCGAACGGGUGAGUAAUGCAUCGGAACGUGCCCCGUAGUGGGGGAUAACUAGUUGAAAGAUUAGCUAAUACCGCAUUCGACCUAUGGGUGAAAGCGGGGGAUUUGAAAGAACCUCGCGCUAUUGGAGCGGCCGAUGUUUGAUUAGCUAGUUGGCGGGGUAAAAGCCCCCCAAGGCUUCGAUCAGUAGCUGGUUUGAGAGGACGACCAGCCCCCCUGGGACUGAGACCCGGCCCCGACUCCUACGGGAGGCAGCAGUGGGGAAUUUUGGACAAUGGGCGCAAGCCUGAUCCAGCCCUGCCGCGUGCGGGAAGAAGGCCUUCGGGUUGUAAACCGCUUUUGGCAGGAACGAAACGGCGCGAGCGAAUAUCUCGCGUUAAUGACGGUACCUGCAGAAUAAGCACCGGCUAACUACGUG